This 460-nucleotide ribosomal RNA is filed under the name uncultured bacterium. RNAcentral describes it as "partial 16S ribosomal RNA". It matches the Rfam family "Bacterial small subunit ribosomal RNA", at positions 338 to 795 of the family's 1533-position model. The record is from RNAcentral.
UCUACGGGAGGCAGCAGUGAGGAAUAUUGGUCAAUGGACGAGGGUCUGAACCAGCCAAGUAGCGUGAAGGAUGACUGCCCUAUGGGUUGUAAACUUCUUUUAUAUGGGAAUAAAAUGUUCCACGUGUGGGAUUUUGUAUGUACCAUAUGAAUAAGGAUCGGCUAACUCCGUGCCAGCAGCCGCGGUAAUAAGGAGGAUCCGAGCGUUAACCGGAUUGAGUGGGUUUAAAGGGCGCGUAUGUGGAUUGUUAAGUCAGUUGUGAAAGUUUGCGGAUCAAACGUGAAAUUUCAGUUGAAACUGGCAGUCUUGAGUACAGUAGAGGUGGGCGGAAUUCGUGGUGUAGCGGUGAAAUGCUUAGAUAUCACGAAGAACUCCGAUUGCGAAGGCAGUUCACUGGACUGCAACUGACACUGAGGCUCGAAAGUGUGGGUAUCAAACAGGAUUAGAUACCCGUGUAGUC